Long non-coding RNA from Vitis riparia (riverbank grape), 644 nucleotides. RefSeq lists it as uncharacterized. The transcript has 2 exons. The record is from RefSeq and is a predicted model, not a curated record. Lineage: Eukaryota; Viridiplantae; Streptophyta; Magnoliopsida; Vitales; Vitaceae.
GAAAAAGGUGUGACAGAGACAUUGCACCAAGAGGAAAUGUGAUAUGCAUGAUUGGCCUGCAAGGGAAUUGAAACCGUACCAGGAACACUGAUCUAAACUUCACCCUUGUCUAAGCAAACCUACUACUUCUCUCUCUUGCCCUCCACUCUAUUUCCUCCCCAUUCUCUUCCUAGCAUGAGCCACACCCACUUCUCCAAAUGGGGUGGCUCCAAUCCCUCUUCUCUCCAUUGAAGAAGCUCUGGUUUCGUCUGCACUCAGCUCAGAGGAAGAGUAGAGGGAUAUACAUUCUAUACGAGGACGUCAAGUCCUGCCCAUAUGAAGAUGUGCAUGUACUAUGGUCGAUUCUGGUGGAAUCACAUUCACCUUCGCCGCCAUCAAAACAAUGAAGGCUCUCAUGCACAGAGACAUCCCAGGAAUGAGAGAUUUCCAUUCUGAUCAUGUACAUACGAUAUUUAAAUGUUCUACACACUAUGAAAUGGUUUGUCCUCCUCCUUUACUUUCUUGUGAUCCAAGCUAGGUUUCAGAAUUUGAGUUUCCUAAUCUUAAUAGAAGGUUGGAUCUGGGUUCAAGCGUCUGUGUAAACUAUGACUUUAUUUAAAGAAAAUUCGGAAUGAGUAAUUCCCCUUCUCUUUAUUUUGGCCUCA